RNAcentral lists this ribosomal RNA (239 nucleotides) under uncultured bacterium. RNAcentral describes it as "partial 16S ribosomal RNA". It matches the Rfam family "Bacterial small subunit ribosomal RNA", at positions 16 to 244 of the family's 1533-position model. The record is from RNAcentral.
GUCAUGGCUCAGGAUGAACGCUAGCGACAGGCCUAACACAUGCAAGUCGAGGGGCAGCGGAGAGGUAGCAAUACCUUUGCCGGCGACCGGCGCACGGGUGAGUAACACGUAUGCAAUCCACCUGUAACAGGGGGAUAACCCGGAGAAAUCCGGACUAAUACCCCAUAAUAUGGGCUCUCCGCAUGGAGGGUCCAUUAAAGAGAGCAAUUUUGGUUACAGACGAGCAUGCGCUCCAUUAG